UGCAGAGCAGUUAGGCAUUUCAGUCUUACUUCCCCUUGCUUAUCAUGCAUAGUCCACCCUACGUAUUUUAAGUAGCUGUCAUUGAGAAAGGCGUCGCUGUACAUCUUCAUCCAUAUUCCAAUUUCUUCAAUACAGAUAGCUCUUAUUUCAGCAAUUGCAUCUCGGUAUCUAUGCACAAAAACACCUUUAAAUAUUGCAUUCAUCAUGUUCUCUAUUUCAUCCUGAUUUUCCUGAAGCUCCUUUCUUUUCUGUAGUAAGAGUUCCAGCCUAUCAUUAGCACGCUUCCCAAUGAUUUUAUUUCGUUCUGCUUCAUACUGCCGUUGUGUGUUGUCCAUGUUAAUACUAAGAUUCAACGCCAC
RNAcentral lists this long non-coding RNA (359 nucleotides) under Gallus gallus (chicken). The record is from RNAcentral. Lineage: Eukaryota; Metazoa; Chordata; Aves; Galliformes; Phasianidae.